This 1399-nucleotide long non-coding RNA is filed under the name Capsicum annuum. RNAcentral describes it as "long non-coding RNA (CANN_LNC003048)". Lineage: Eukaryota; Viridiplantae; Streptophyta; Magnoliopsida; Solanales; Solanaceae. The record is from RNAcentral.
UUCCUCCUUUAGCUGCUGAUUCAUCGAAGAGAAAUACGAGGUGUGUACUAAACUUUCUUUCUUUGUUUUGUUACAUAUGUACAGUAAAAUCCAUCAAGUUUAUAGAAGUAAUAUCUUCUAUUUCAAAACAAACUUGUUAUUUUUCUUGUUUUUAACGUUUUGGAUUGUAUGUGAUCAUGUACUGGUUCUUCUGAAAUAUAAAUUACUUACUCAUAGAGCUUCUUCUUCUUAAUAUUGCUCAAUUCUUUAACAAACAUCUAUUCCCCCGUUUUGUAUUAAUUGACUUUCUUUCUAAAAGUGUUUGUUUCCAUUUAGUUGUCCAAGUUUUAAAAUCAAGAGUAUUUUAUACAUAUAUUUUUCAUUUUACCGUUGACAGGAAUACUAAAUACAUCCACAGUGUUCAAAAUUAUUGAAUGAUGCAUAAAUGAUCUCAGUUCUUAAAACCAAAAUUAAAUAAUUAUUACUAGUUUUAAUUAUAAAUACUCAAUGUUCUAGACGUAAUGCAUUAGAUGGAGUAAUAUGUAUCAAAUUUUAAUGUUUAAUCAUUGGAUUGAUUAUUUCAAUUUUAAAGGCAUAUAAGAGUAAAUAUGUAAAAUGCAUUUCUAUUUAUUGGUUUCUUAAUAGGUACUCCCUCCAUUCCAUUUUACUCGUUCCAAAUUGGAAUGACACAGCUAUUAAGAAAAUGUAACUUUAUCAUUUUGCCCCUCUUAAUUGUGUCUUGUUGUUAGUUCCAAUAUUGAUGGACAACUAAUACCAAAGCACUAUUUAUAUUUUUAAUGGUACUCCUCUUUGCAAUAUUUUUCAAGAAUGCUAAUAAUAAGGAGUAAUCAAUUACACUAAUGGUAUAAUGGAAAUUUUUUUUUGCUUGUCUUGAUAAGUAAAAUAGGACAGGUAAAAUGAGACAUCAAAUUGAGAAAUUUGGAACGAAUAAAAUGGGACGGAGGAAGUAUAUCAAAUCCAUAGGCGUCAUCUAAUACGAAAGGGAGCGAGUAAUAAAUAGGUAAUGAAAACAUACUUAUUUUUGGACGGAGGGAGUAGCAGUCAUGGAAUUCAAUGGGUCCAAAAUUGAAUAGAUGGGAAUGGUCCAAAAACUUUAUAAUGUAGUUCUAACUUCUUUACUUAUUUGUCAACAGCAUAGCAUCAAGAAGUUGCAAAUUUAUUUGUUUUAUGGGAAAAGGAAUGCUUCUACUCCAUUAUCUAACGGAUAUUUCUUGGUGCAUUGCCUUGUUCAUGCUUCCAGGAUUUUCGAAUUUCGAAGUUCUUAUCACAUUAGUUGUGCCUGAAGAUCGAGGACAACACCAAUUUACCAGUGAGCUCAGUAUCUCCUGUUAGAAAAGACUCACUAGGAAAAAAACUAGAUAUCAGCAGUAUGACCAAAGAGCACAGAGUUGUUUCCUAU